AGAGUUUGAUCCUGGCUCAGAACGAACGCUGGCGGCGUGGAUAAGACAUGCAAGUCGAGCGGGAUUUCUUUUGGUAGCAAUACCGAAGGAAGUCUAGCGGCGAACGGGUGCUUAACACGUGGGCAACCUGCCAAGAAGUGGGGGAUAGCUCGCCGAAAGGCGAAUUAAUACCGCAUGUGAUUAGAGAGGACAUCCUUUCGAAAUUAAAGUCGGGGCAACCUGACGCUUUUUGUGGGGCCCGCGGCCUAUCAGCUAGUUGGUGAGGUAACGGCCCACCAAGGCUUUGACGGGUAGCUGGUCUGAGAGGACGACCAGCCACACUGGGACUGAGACACGGCCCAGACACCUACGGGUGGCAGCAGUCGAGAAUUUUUGACAAUGGGGGAAACCCUGAUCGAGCGACGCCGCGUGGAGGAUGAAGGUCUUCGGAUUGUAAACUCCUGUCAUUGGGGAACAAGGUGCAUACGUUAACUGCGUGUGUAUUGAUAGUACCCGAAGAGGAAGGGACGGCUAACUCUGUGCCAGCAGCCGCGGUAAUACAGAGGUCUCAAGCGUUGUUCGGAUUCAUUGGGCGUAAAGGGUGCGUAGGCGGCGCGGUAAGUCGGGUGUGAAAUCUCGGGGCUUAACUCCGAAACUGCAUUCGAUACUGCCGUGCUUGAGGACUGGAGAGGAGACUGGAAUUUACGGUGUAGCGGUGAAAUGCGUAGAUAUCGUAAGGAAGACCAGUGGCGAAGGCGGGUCUCUGGACAGUUCCUGACGCUGAGGCACGAAGGUCAGGGGAGCAAACGGGAUUAGAUACCCCAGUAGUCC
This 810-nucleotide ribosomal RNA is filed under the name uncultured bacterium. RNAcentral describes it as "bacterial SSU rRNA". It matches the Rfam family "Bacterial small subunit ribosomal RNA", at positions 8 to 796 of the family's 1533-position model. The record is from RNAcentral.